This 406-nucleotide ribosomal RNA is filed under the name uncultured bacterium. RNAcentral's name for it is "partial 16S ribosomal RNA". It matches the Rfam family "Bacterial small subunit ribosomal RNA", at positions 30 to 526 of the family's 1533-position model. The record is from RNAcentral.
AUUGAACGCUGGCGGCAGGCCUAACACAUGCAAGUCGAACGAGUGGCGGACGGGUGAGUAAUUUCUGGGAAACUGCCUGCUGUCGGGGGAUAACUACUUGGAACGGUAGCUCAUACCGCAUACCCUCUGAUGUGCCCAGAUGUGAUUAGCUAGUAGUUGGGGUAAAGGCUCACCUAGGCGACGAUCCCUCGCUGGUCUGAGAGGGUGACCAGCCACACUGGAAAGGAGACACGGUCCAGACGCCUACGGGAGGCAGCAGUGGGGAAUAUUGCACAAUGGGCGAAAGCCUGAUGCAGCCAUGCCGCGUGUAUGAAGAAGGCCUUCGGGUUGUAAAGUACUUUCAGCGUGGAGGCGUUACUCGCAGAAGAAGCACCGGCUAACUCCGUGCCAGCAGCCGCGGUAAUUC